GGAAGUAGCUCAGUGGUAGAGCCCAUGCAUAGCAUGCAUGAGGUCCUGGGUUCAAUCCCUAGUACCUCCC
RNAcentral lists this transfer RNA (70 nucleotides) under Camelus bactrianus (Bactrian camel). It matches the Rfam family "tRNA". From Rfam's summary of the family: Transfer RNA (tRNA) molecules are approximately 80 nucleotides in length. Their secondary structure includes four short double-helical elements and three loops (D, anti-codon, and T loops). Further hydrogen bonds mediate the characteristic L-shaped molecular structure. tRNAs have two regions of fundamental functional importance: the anti-codon, which is responsible for specific mRNA codon recognition, and the 3' end, to which the tRNAs corresponding amino acid is attached (by aminoacyl-tRNA synthetases). tRNAs cope with the degeneracy of the genetic code in two manners: having more than one tRNA (with a specific anti-codon) for a particular amino acid; and 'wobble' base-pairing, i.e. permitting non-standard base-pairing at the 3rd anti-codon position. RNAcentral also lists the same sequence under 2 other names. The record is from Rfam by way of RNAcentral. Lineage: Eukaryota; Metazoa; Chordata; Mammalia; Artiodactyla; Camelidae.